This 890-nucleotide ribosomal RNA is filed under the name Lactiplantibacillus plantarum. RNAcentral describes it as "bacterial SSU rRNA". It matches the Rfam family "Bacterial small subunit ribosomal RNA", at positions 63 to 921 of the family's 1533-position model. Lineage: Bacteria; Bacillati; Bacillota; Bacilli; Lactobacillales; Lactobacillaceae. The record is from RNAcentral.
CGAACUCUGGUAUUGAUUGGUGCUUGCAUCAUGAUUUACAUUUGAGUGAGUGGCGAACUGGUGAGUAACACGUGGGAAACCUGCCCAGAAGCGGGGGAUAACACCUGGAAACAGAUGCUAAUACCGCAUAACAACUUGGACCGCAUGGUCCGAGCUUGAAAGAUGGCUUCGGCUAUCACUUUUGGAUGGUCCCGCGGCGUAUUAGCUAGAUGGUGGGGUAACGGCUCACCAUGGCAAUGAUACGUAGCCGACCUGAGAGGGUAAUCGGCCACAUUGGGACUGAGACACGGCCCAAACUCCUACGGGAGGCAGCAGUAGGGAAUCUUCCACAAUGGACGAAAGUCUGAUGGAGCAACGCCGCGUGAGUGAAGAAGGGUUUCGGCUCGUAAAACUCUGUUGUUAAAGAAGAACAUAUCUGAGAGUAACUGUUCAGGUAUUGACGGUAUUUAACCAGAAAGCCACGGCUAACUACGUGCCAGCAGCCGCGGUAAUACGUAGGUGGCAAGCGUUGUCCGGAUUUAUUGGGCGUAAAGCGAGCGCAGGCGGUUUUUUAAGUCUGAUGUGAAAGCCUUCGGCUCAACCGAAGAAGUGCAUCGGAAACUGGGAAACUUGAGUGCAGAAGAGGACAGUGGAACUCCAUGUGUAGCGGUGAAAUGCGUAGAUAUAUGGAAGAACACCAGUGGCGAAGGCGGCUGUCUGGUCUGUAACUGACGCUGAGGCUCGAAAGUAUGGGUAGCAAACAGGAUUAGAUACCCUGGUAGUCCAUACCGUAAACGAUGAAUGCUAAGUGUUGGAGGGUUUCCGCCCUUCAGUGCUGCAGCUAACGCAUUAAGCAUUCCGCCUGGGGAGUACGGCCGCAAGGCUGAAACUCAAAGGAAUUGACGGGGGCC